AGAGUUACCUGCCAGGGGAGGCACCUUGUUCACAAAGGAGGUUUUCCCAGGGUGAUACUCAUCCAUUGCACUCCAGGUGUGCUGACCCCUGCAAUUUCCCCAAAUGUGGAAAACUUGACUGCAUAAUUUCUAGCAGUGGGGGACUGUGUUUGUGCUUUUGUAGG
Molecule: small nuclear RNA, 164 nt
Organism: Euleptes europaea (tarantolino)
Lineage: Eukaryota; Metazoa; Chordata; Lepidosauria; Squamata; Sphaerodactylidae
Product: U1 spliceosomal RNA
Exons: 1
Source: RefSeq, a predicted model, not a curated record